Molecule: long non-coding RNA, 248 nt
Organism: Ixodes scapularis (black-legged tick)
Lineage: Eukaryota; Metazoa; Arthropoda; Arachnida; Ixodida; Ixodidae
Exons: 3
Source: RefSeq, a predicted model, not a curated record
GCUUGACAGAAGAAGGGAACUUAAUCGCACAGCAAAGGAAUGGGCGAAGGAAAAUGGCUACCGGUAUUCAUGGCACCGAAAUGGAAACAUUUUUUUUGAGGCGGAGGGACGGAGAAAGAGCGAUUCUUGUGAAAUGCGAGGUGGACUUGCAAAACUUGAGGCGAGACUUCGAAAUUGACAUCAAGCAGCUAUCAUCAGCAUCAGACAUCAUCAUCAGAGAAGAAAAGAACCUCACCGGCGCAGUCGAC